RNAcentral lists this ribosomal RNA (504 nucleotides) under Triticum aestivum (bread wheat). Its description in RNAcentral is "partial small subunit ribosomal RNA". The record is from RNAcentral. Lineage: Eukaryota; Viridiplantae; Streptophyta; Magnoliopsida; Poales; Poaceae.
AUGAGAAGGCAGCAGCAGGAGGUCGAGAGGAAGAAGGAGGGGUGCACGAGGUGGGCGCUGGUGGCGUGUGGUGGAGGCGAUGGUGGUGCUGGUGGUGCGUGGUGGAGUGGUGGCAGGAGGCGAUGGUGGUGCUGGUCAAUGGAUGGCGCGGAGGCGCACCACCACGCCGGCCUGGCCGUGGCGGUGACCGGAGUUGGAGAAGGAAGGGUGAGGGAGAGAGAGAUGUGCCAGGCCCAAAGGGGAUUGGUGGCUGCGCUAGGGAUUUUGAUCCCCCAUGAUCUGAUCUGCCACUUUGCAAUUUUGCCCUCCUACUUCUCUUCUUUCUUCUCAAGUUGGUCCCUCUCUUCUUUGGCUAACCCCUCUGGUUACUUCUUAUCAUCACACACAAGUCCCUCCGUCCUUCUUCUUUCUUUUCACUUGACUGGUUCUCUUAGCCACCUAGUCCACAUCUUAGAGUUUAUAGUGCCUUUGCGCACUUUUUUGCAAAAGAAACACAAUGACUAG